Molecule: long non-coding RNA, 341 nt
Organism: Armigeres subalbatus
Lineage: Eukaryota; Metazoa; Arthropoda; Insecta; Diptera; Culicidae
Exons: 3
Source: RefSeq, a predicted model, not a curated record
UAUUUUUCCGUGUGAAUGUUGUUUAUUUUGUUGCAGAAAAAAUUGGUGGUUUGGUGGAACCAGAAUGCUCUGGUUUUGGUGUGUUUUCUUCAAGUUUAAUUCAUUUUUGUGCUGAAAAUCAUGGCUUUGGAAGCGGAAAAAAUCUCGGAAAAAGUGGGUGCAGAACACCAUUAGCUCGAAAAUAAUUUAAUUUGAACGUGAUAUUGGUCAAUAUCGGAUUCUAGAUCCGGCCGAGGAUGUGGCUUCCUGGAUGCCCAAGGAAAAAGCAUAUGGACAAGCUGACUCAACUUUCCAUUUCCCAUAUUUGUUUUAACGGAAAACGAAAAAAAAAACAUUGUACA